This is a non-coding RNA of Salmo salar (Atlantic salmon), 55 nucleotides long. The record is from Rfam. Lineage: Eukaryota; Metazoa; Chordata; Actinopteri; Salmoniformes; Salmonidae.
UUAAUGCUGUGAUAGUAAGUCGCUCUGGAUAAGAGCGUCUGCUAAAUGACGUAAA